AUUAAAAAGCACUAGUAUCAUUAACUAGAUUUAAAACAAAGCCAAACAAUAACCCUGCUAAUAAUUAUUGAAAGGUGGGGGGGCUUCAGUGCGUUUUGUGUGUCAGAGCAUUCGUAAGCGCACCCAACUUCAUAAAGCGGCAGGGGCUACGUCCGGCUUUGUUUCUGCCGUUCGCAGUAAACCAUCUACCUGCGUGUUCUAAAGAAAUGUUAUGAUGUCAUUGUUUUCAGGAUACACCUUACAUGCAGGAGAGAUGUUUUAAAUCUUCAGACUGUUUGCCGCCUCGUGUUUUGAUAAACUCUGUUUGAUUUAUUUGAGAGAGAGAGAGAGAGCAUGAGCAGGUGGGGGGGGUGCAGGGAGUAGCAGAGGGAGAGGGAGAAGGGGACUCCGGCCUGGCCCAGCAGGGAGCAUGAUGCAGGAUCCCGGGAUCAUGACCUGAAUGGAAGGCAGACGCUUAAAGGACGGAGCCACCCAGGCGCCCUGAGAACUGGGAUUUUUUUUUUUUAAUUGAAAUCUGUGUUAGAUUCCUGUGUUAUAUUCUAAGCUUAUUUUUAUUUAUUUAUUUUUGUAGAGAGGGGAGUAGAGAGAGAGGGAAUCUUAAGCAGGCUCCAUGCUCAGUGUGGAGCCCACCGUGGGCCUUGAUCUCACCCACCCUGAGACCAUGACCUGAGCCAAAAUCAGGAGUUGGAUGUUUAACCAGCUGAGCCACCCAGGUCAUGAUACCAGGCUCCUGGGAUCGAGUCCUGCCUCUGGCUCCCUGCUCAGUGGGGAGCCUGCUUCUCCCUCUGCCUGCAUCUCCCCCCUGCUUGUGCUCACACGUGCGUUCCCGUGCUCCGACAAAUAAAUAAAAUCACACACUGGGGGUGAGUAAUCAUUGUUUGCUUAAAAUCUGAUAAAACUUUGACUUCUUUUAUCAUUGACCUUGCAAAUAUGUCACUUUUUUGAUAAUCUUAUCUAUUUCAGGAUUUCUUUAACU
RNAcentral lists this long non-coding RNA (976 nucleotides) under Ursus maritimus (polar bear). Its description in RNAcentral is "lncRNA (ENSUMAG00000009556.1)". Lineage: Eukaryota; Metazoa; Chordata; Mammalia; Carnivora; Ursidae. The record is from RNAcentral.